Molecule: transfer RNA, 55 nt
Filed under: Bathyomphalus contortus
Lineage: Eukaryota; Metazoa; Mollusca; Gastropoda; Planorbidae
Description: tRNA-Ser
Source: RNAcentral
AGAAAAUAAAAUUGAAGCUGCUAACUUUGAUUGGGGGAGAGAUCUCCAUUUUCUU